This 377-nucleotide ribosomal RNA is filed under the name uncultured bacterium. Its description in RNAcentral is "bacterial SSU rRNA". It matches the Rfam family "Bacterial small subunit ribosomal RNA", at positions 521 to 896 of the family's 1533-position model. The record is from RNAcentral.
UAAUACGUAGGUGGCAAGCGUUGUCCGGAUUUACUGGGCGUAAAGGGCGUGCAGGCGGUUUGUUAAGUGCAGGGUGAAAGCUCCCGGCUCAACUGGGAGAGGUCCUUGCAUACUGGCAAACUCGAGGGAGGCAGAGGAAAGUGGAAUUCCCGGUGUAGUGGUGAUAUGCGUAGAUAUCGGGAGGAACACCUGUGGCGAAGGCGGCUUUCUGGGCCUUACCUGACGCUGAGACGCGAAAGCGUGGGGAGCGAACCGGAUUAGAUACCCGGGUAGUCCACGCCGUAAACUAUGGACACUAGGUGUGGGGGGUAUCGACCCCCUCCGUGCCGAAGCUAACGCAAUAAGUGUCCCGCCUGGGGAGUACGGCCGCAAGGCUA